GUGUGUAUAGCUCAGCAGUAGAGCACAUGCUUAGCAUGCGUGAGGUCCUGGGUUCAAUCCCCAGUACCUCCA
RNAcentral lists this transfer RNA (72 nucleotides) under Camelus bactrianus (Bactrian camel). It matches the Rfam family "tRNA". Rfam says of the family: Transfer RNA (tRNA) molecules are approximately 80 nucleotides in length. Their secondary structure includes four short double-helical elements and three loops (D, anti-codon, and T loops). RNAcentral also lists the same sequence under 2 other names. The record is from Rfam by way of RNAcentral. Lineage: Eukaryota; Metazoa; Chordata; Mammalia; Artiodactyla; Camelidae.